AACGAACGCUGGCGGCAUGCCUAACACAUGCAAGUCGAACGAGACCUUCGGGUCUAGUGGCGCACGGGUGCGUAACGCGUGGGAACCUGCCCUUAGGUUCGGAAUAACUCCCCGAAAGGGGUGCUAAUACCGGAUAAUGUCUUCGGACCAAAGAUUUAUCGCCUUUGGAUGGGCCCGCGUUGGAUUCGCUAGUUGGUAGGGUAAAAGCCUACCAAGGCGACGAUCCAUAGCUGGUCUGAGAGGAUGAUCAGCUACAAUGGGAAUGAGACACGGCCCAGACUCGGACGGGAGGGAGCAGUGGGGAAUAUUGUACGAGGGGCGAAAGCCUGAUAAAGCAAUGCCGGGUGAGUGAUGAAGGCCUUAGGAUUGUAAAGCUGUUUUACCCGGGAUGAUAAUGACAGUACCGGGAGAAUAAGCACCGGCUAACUCCGUG
RNAcentral lists this ribosomal RNA (433 nucleotides) under uncultured bacterium. Its description in RNAcentral is "partial 16S ribosomal RNA". It matches the Rfam family "Bacterial small subunit ribosomal RNA", at positions 29 to 507 of the family's 1533-position model. The record is from RNAcentral.